RNAcentral lists this unclassified non-coding RNA (319 nucleotides) under plant metagenome. Its description in RNAcentral is "partial contains 5.8S ribosomal RNA, internal transcribed spacer 2, and large subunit ribosomal RNA". The stretch from base 1 to 104 matches the Rfam family "5.8S ribosomal RNA", at positions 50 to 154 of the family's 154-position model. The record is from RNAcentral.
GAAAUGCGAUAGUAAUGUGAAUUGCAGAAUUCAGUGAAUCAUCGAAUCUUUGAACGCACAUUGCGCCCGCCAGUAUUCUGGCGGGCAUGCCUGUUCGAGCGUCAUUACAACCCUCAGGCCCCCGGGCCUGGCGUUGGGGAUCGGCGGAAGCCCCCUGCGGGCACAACGCCGUCCCCCAAAUACAGUGGCGGUCCCGCCGCAGCUUCCAUUGCGUAGUAGCUAACACCUCGCAACUGGAGAGCGGCGCGGCCACGCCGUAAAACACCCAACUUCUGAAUGUUGACCUCGAAUCAGGUAGGAAUACCCGCUGAACUUAAGC